UCAGAUUCGAUGAAAUAUCUUGUGAUUUGAAUACGUAAACCUAAUUCUUCUCUCUAGCUAAACCACAACGCCUCCAUCUGUUCAUGCUCACCGUCAACAUAAACGGAAAACCUCUUUGUUGUAAUCGUAUCGAUCUCCUACUUCAGAUCUAUUAAAAAUACCGUUGAGGAAUCUGAUUACCUCUCUGUCGAUUGUUGUGUUGCGUCGAUUGUGUUGCAAUGUCGCCGGUGGACGUGUUGCACAGGUGUUCGUCGAGGAUUCUGAGCUACAUCAAUUUCUUCAAUAAAUCUCCAACAAUGAAUAAAUCUAUGAAGAAGAUGAAGCCUCAAAUGAUAUCAAGAUAUGAUUUUUGGAGCUUGCUAGAGUAUAAGAUAUCCAAUAUCUGAUGGUGGUGGGAGGAAGGAAGAACGGCGACGGUAUUAGGUAAAAAUGGUAGAUUUGAUGGUGGUAGGAAGGAAUGAUGUCAGUAGUGAUGGCGGUGGUUAGUUGUUGGUGGCUUCGUGUGGUAGUUAACGGUGGUGGUAGAAUUUGGGUUUAUUCAAUUACUCUACCAAUUAGAGUAUAAUAAAUGUAUAAACCUACGAAUUAGAGUAUAAUGAAAAUAUUAAACUAUAAAUGAAUAAAUAUAUAUACUAACAAAUAUA
Lactuca sativa (garden lettuce) is the source of this 644-nucleotide long non-coding RNA. RefSeq lists it as uncharacterized. The record is from RefSeq and is a predicted model, not a curated record. Lineage: Eukaryota; Viridiplantae; Streptophyta; Magnoliopsida; Asterales; Asteraceae.